RNAcentral lists this ribosomal RNA (253 nucleotides) under uncultured bacterium. Its description in RNAcentral is "partial 16S ribosomal RNA". It matches the Rfam family "Bacterial small subunit ribosomal RNA", at positions 524 to 776 of the family's 1533-position model. The record is from RNAcentral.
UACGGAGGGGGCUAGCGCUGUUCGGAAUUACUGGGCGUAAAGCGCUCGUAGGCGGACUGUUAAGUCGGGUGUGAAAUCCUGGGGCUCAACCUCAGAAUUGCCUCCGAUACUGGCAGUCUCGAGUGCGGGAGAGGUGAGUGGAAUUCCCAGUGUAGAGGUGAAAUUCGUAGAUAUUGGGAAGAACACCGGUGGCGAAGGCGGCGACCUGGACAGUAACUGACGCUGAGACGCGAAAGCGUGGGUAGCAAACAGG